CAGGACACCCAGGACAAGUGAAAACAGAGCUGAAGAAGUGUAAGGGUUGCAGUACUUGUUGUCUUUUAGCUAAAAUAUUUAGAAACAGAAAGGAUAAGCGCACAGAGGAAUAGCAUAGCAGAAAUCAUGUGCCUUUCUUAUGUUAACCCUUCCCCUUGUCUAGACCCUAUUUGUCCAUAUGGGCAUGUCCAUAUAAAGACAAGACUCAGAAGGUUGGAUAGCUAUACUUCUUUGCCUCUGUUUUCAUGAAGCCGAGUCCUCUGUUCGCUUUGGUUGCCGCCACUAGCUCUGCUGCUGGGCUGCCCAUGUGUACGCAGAUGUCAUGAAAAUAUCAAGUUCCCUAAGCAGCUUGAACUGUGGGGAGGCUCAGAGAAGGGAGAUUUCCUGAGCUGCUGACUUACUGCGGGACUGACUCAGUAAGAUUCCAGGCACUAGACAGAGCUAGUUAGGAAAGGAAACAUUUCCUCUUUGCCUCUGCGGGGAAAAAGAAACUACUCUUCGGAUAGUCACCUGGCUCUAACACCGGAAAGGAAAGCGAGGCGGUGCAUCCCCCAGAAGAGCAGCAGGCAGGGCCACUGAGCAUCCCACAGCCACCAGCGGGGCUGUCCUGCUGUCCUUGCAGGAGUGCCCUGUCUCCCAGAAUCUCCUCCUGGUGCUAUCCCCACCCUGCCUGAAAGAAGUGAGGAGGAUGAUGGGGAGAGAGUCAGACGGGCUGGGGUUGGGAGGAGUGAGUGCCCUUGAUUUUUCUCUUAUCCAAAUUCAACUUUCAUUUUAGAUUUCCCUCCAACUCUUCAAAGCAAGCAUCGCUACUCUUAAUUUCUCAUACGGGACUACUUAGGGGCGGCAAAAGCCUCGUGGGACUGGUGGGGUUUCCUGUACUUUUAAUUGAAAUGAUUUCUUUGUGGGUUCCCAAAGCUAAACUGUCCUUGGUCACACUGGAAAGAAAUAAAGAAAAAUAAGUAUGAUUAUUGUACCAAGUAGUGGGAUUGCAGGUGAGGUUUUUCUUGUUUUUUUUUUUUUUUUUUUUUUUUUUUUUGAGACAGAGUCUUACCCUGUCACUCAGGCUGGAGUGCAGUGGCACAAUCUCGGCGCACAGCAACCUCUGCCUCCUGGGAUGAUGCCAUUCUCCUGUCUCUCUCCCCUCAAGGGGACGCUGAUUUGCCACCAUGUC
Molecule: long non-coding RNA, 1171 nt
Filed under: Piliocolobus tephrosceles (Ugandan red Colobus)
Lineage: Eukaryota; Metazoa; Chordata; Mammalia; Primates; Cercopithecidae
Description: lncRNA (ENSPTEG00000029219.1)
Source: RNAcentral